GUUUAGUUUUGCAUGGGCCAAUUUGAUAUGCUUAUUUACCCCCAUUGUUAUAGUACCAGUGGCUUGUGUGGUGGGGCUUGGUCUGUUCAUGAGGGGCUUCCCACUGCUUGCUAACUGCGUGGAGAUUGGCCUGCCUAUGCUGAUUAUACUAGUCAUUUGCCAGUAUUUGAAGCAUCUCCAUCCAAGGAGCCGUCCUAUACUUGAAAGGUUUGGCUUGCUUUUCUGUGUUGGAAUUGUCUGGGCUUUUGCUGCUAUCCUUACUGUUGCUGGUGCCUACAACAAUGUUGGAGAACAAACUAAAAUGAGUUGUCGCACAGAUCGAUCCUUUCUUAUAUCAUCUGCUCCAUGGGUUCGAGUCCCAUACCCUUUUCAGUGGGGUGCUCCAAUAUUUAGAGCAAGCCAUGUCUUUGGGAUGAUGGGGGCAGCGCUUGUUUCAUCUGCAGAGGUUCAAUCACCAUGCCAGAAAAUUUUUUAAUGUUUUAUCAAUGUAGAUGCAUUUGAAAUUUUAACUAGUGGCACCUUCUAUUCAAAUUAGCUUAGUUUUAGUUAGACAUCACAUCAAAUAAUUUAUAGUUCUUUAUCAUGGAUAUAGUUUUGUCCGUAUUUCAUAUCUUUGAUGGAUCAUAGAAAUUUGCUACUUAAAUAUUUAUUAUCCUAACCAAUUUGUAAGCUUCUGAUGUAGUCCACUGGAACGUAUUUUGCCGCAGCAAGGCUUGCAGGUGCUACACACCCUCCAGCACAUGUUCUUACCAGAAGUAUUGGUCUGCAGGGUGUUGGCAUGCUGCUUGAAGGAAUCUUUGGUGCUGCUGUUGGCAACACUGCUUCUGUGUAAGUUUGGCCCUUUUUAGGUACCUCAAGUUAUAUUAAUGCCACAGAUUCUGCAGCUGCAUGCUUCUAUCAGGCAGCUAUUUCCAAUUUCCCAUUCCAUCACAAGUACAUUAUCUAGGCUAGCAGAGAUAACUGAUCUUAUCCUGGAUAAGGAGCUUCCCAUGGAAGAGCUUAACAAUGUAUGGCCAUUCAUGCAUUGUCCCUUUCUUUUGGAUUUCUCUUUGUCUGAGUUUUACCAUUUUCAGAGGACAAAGCAAGUGAGGUUGUCAGAGUUAGUGAAGGCACCCACUAUUUGUUCAUUGUGAAAUACUCUCAUGGGAAACAAAAACUGAAGUUAAUUAAAUGUAUUUGUGCAAAUUUCACAUGCUUGCAUGUGCACCUCUGAUAAUGGCACAGCUAUCUUAAGUGGCAUAAUUAUUUAUUUUUUUAUAUAUUUUACUUAGCAGAUUACUUCCCAACUCAAACGUUGAACCUUCAAUUUGCUAAGCUUUUUCUUUAUUCUUUUUUUGACUUUUGUGAUGUGAUGCCUUUGUGGCAAAUCUCUUUAGAAUUGGCUUGUCUUAUAGAUUGCUGCCGAAAGAUAUGAGAGCUAUUUAAUUUGAAAAGAAGUUUGAUUCUCAGUGGAGUGGUGAAUAUGCCAUAUAUUAAAAAACCAUACUGUUGAUCAAUGGUAUAUAAAUUUGUGUCAUCUGAUGGUGUUGCAGUGAAAAUGUUGGCCUUCUUGGACUUACACACAUUGGGAGCCGAAGAGUGGUGCAGAUAUCAACUGCUUUCAUGAUCUUUUUCUCCAUAUUUGGUUUGUUUCUGUGUAUCCCUCAUAGAUUCCAUAGAUAUUUGACCUGGGCUUGUAAUUUUAUGCGUGUUCUGAUCCUAUUUCAGGGAAGUUUGGUGCCUUGUUUGCGUCUAUUCCUCUGCCAAUAUUUGCUGCUAUAUAUUGUGUUCUAUUUGGAAUUGUUGCUGCUAUUGGGAUUUCCUUUAUACAGUUCUCUAACAAUAACUCCAUGAGAAACCAUUACAUCUUGGGCUUGUCUUUGUUCCUUGGGAUAUCAAUACCUCAAUAUUUUGUCAGCAACACCACCAUGGAAGGGCAUGGACCAGUUAAAACAGAUGGUGGAUGGGUGAGUUGCAUAAAAAAAGACAAUACUUUUCUCUUUGGACUAUCAUUUGAUUCCUUUUGGCUGUUCAUCCACUAGAGUCGUGGUCCUAUUCAGAUCCCUAUAUUUCUCAGUAGGAAACAAAGAGUAACCCACUGAAAAAAAAGCGUCUUCCCAUUGUGCCAGUUUAUCUGAUGUGCAUGUUUUGUAAAAAUCUGCAGUUCAAUGACAUAUUGAACACAAUUUUCUCAUCACCUCCGACCGUGGCAAUGAUCAUUGGAACAUUGCUGGAUAACACACUUGAUGCAAGGCAUACCAUUAAUGACAGAGGAAUUCCAUGGUGGAAACCUUUCCAGCACCACAAGGGGGAUGUUCGAACUGAGGAGUUUUACAGUCUUCCUCUCCGGAUAAACGAGUGGUUACCCUCUAGAUAUCUCUGAAGAAAAAAACUCACCUCGUUGUAUAGUAGGCAUACAAGCAGCAAAUUUCAUGUUCUUAAAUCUUAAGAAGACAAAGCUGUAACAAUUGGUGAAGGUUCGUUUUUUAUUUUAUUGUACUGAAAGGUUGAUCUCAAAAUCGUUUAUUUCAAAAUCGUUUAGACUGGAAAAAGAGAAUCUUUGAUUCCAAUAAAUUUUUGAGAUGAAGCUUGAUCCUGACGCGAUUUGCAAUUUAUCAGUUGUAAGAGAGAAUGAAAAUGUAAAUCAUUUUCAUUUUUCUUAGAAUAAAAAAAAUAAAUCUCGAAAGUCAAAUAAACUAUUGGAGAAAUUAGCUUCUCGAAUAGAAACCCAUGUGCCCACUUUCUGUGUAUC
Molecule: unclassified non-coding RNA, 2731 nt
Filed under: Hevea brasiliensis (rubber tree)
Lineage: Eukaryota; Viridiplantae; Streptophyta; Magnoliopsida; Malpighiales; Euphorbiaceae
Source: RNAcentral